Oryctolagus cuniculus (rabbit) is the source of this 1942-nucleotide non-coding RNA. The record is from RefSeq and is a predicted model, not a curated record. NCBI's taxonomy places the organism in Eukaryota, Metazoa, Chordata, Mammalia, Lagomorpha, Leporidae.
UCCAACUGCGGCCCUGAGCUGGGCACUGAGGACAGGCAAGCCGCAGGGUCGUGAGCGAGGGUUGCUGAGGAGGGCAGUGAGCCAGGGAAGCCUCCAAGGACCACGCAGGGAAGGCGUGGAUACAAAUGUAAGGUCUAGAACCUUCUACAACUUCAUCGCUGAUUGUACUGCAAAAUUCAGUCUUGGAUUUCUCUUCCUGCUCCCUACGUAUAUAACACCAACGAUCGUAUCUUAUUUCCCCUCAUCCACCCUGAUUGAGGCAGAGAAAGGAGAAGCCGUAAGUGCUGUUGCAGAUAUCCACCCGGAGUGGUAAUUAUUGCAUCAUUAUAUUCGCUAUUUUGCUUGUCAUGUACCAUUAGGAGGUAACAAGAUCAUUGUCAGUCAAAGAUUGUGGAGAUAAUGAGAGCAUCUAUAGGUUAGCAGGAAAUCAAAUCGGUGCUGGUACCCGUCAAUGCCGAGGCGCUGAAUGUAAUUAGAAGGAAAAUAUGCAAAGGUUGAAUGAAUAAAGCCCCGGAGAUUAAAUACUGUGACUGAUUUGAGAACGUGACUGUGCUGUGUUCCGACACCGCAGAUGGCGACGUGGAAAUAGGUGUACAAUGGAAGGCGGUGAAGGCUGCCAGAAAUAGCAAACAGGCUGCCAGUGGUAGUGUUCAGGAGGGACCAAGGACUGCCGGAUUUGGAAAAACACAGUGUCUCCUGGUUUCCAAUCCAGCAGCUCUUCUUUGUUGUCUUCUGCAGCCUGGACAUCAGGUAUAAACAUGUAAUGCAGUGCCGAGUGAAGGGGCCUUUAUUAAACUUCGCUGCUCUGCCUAUCAUUAGCCUAAGCUGCCAGGACAUUGUCCAGUGGCCCGGCACUCCCCCAACACCCCUGGGGAGCUGCAGGAGUUCCCAGCCCUUCCCCCAUCACAGAUACAGAGCCCUCCCCCCGCCCCCAAGGCCCACUCCAACAGCCACCCACAGCCCUUCUAACCUUGACCGCUGCCCGCGAUACCAACACCAUUGCAAACAAUCUCAUCCAAACAGUGACUUCAGGUUGAUGCAAGAAAGUUUAACAAUUGUCUUUAAAAAAGAAAAACAAAAAAAAAUUCAGAAGACAAGGAGAGGCUGGCAGUGACGAGGGAUACGCCAUGCGAUCCUGACAGACGGGCCACGUCGAGACCGGAACAGGAAAUAAUCUGGAUGAACGUUUAACAUACAACUGACCGAGUCCACAGGCUAGAAGGCAAAGGAGCAAGCGAGCAAACACUUGGAUCCCAGGUCCUACGUCAGUCAGCCCGCUCACCAAUGCUGACACGGCCAAGGCUCUUGCUUUGAGUUCUGACGUAGGUUUGAGACACCAAUGGCACCUGCUAACUCGGCGCACGCGUGUUCACCGACCAAAAUCCCAAAGUACCUUCCCAGGACUUCUACAGCAAUGUGUUCAGCCACGUACCACAAACACAUUUCCACGGCCGACUGGGUAGGGCGCAAAUGCUUACAGAACCUACUUGGAGGGCCACUCGCUGAGCCGGGCAGGGUGGCCGGCCACCGCGGGGGACGUCUGUUCUCACACAGGCUGCGUUGCAGGUAUUUCAAGAGCCCGGUCUUGCACAAAGGCGGCUUCCUGCCCAAGGUAAGGGUGGCUAUCUCACACAAACAAGCAGCUGGAAGCUUAGUUCACAUUUUUUAAUAACAUGGCACAGUUUACAUUACACAAGAAGGCUUCGCCGAUGAGAACAUGCUGAAGAUUCAGUUGCUUCACUUUUCUUUUUCACAUAGGAUCUAGAAAGGACUUUAUUACAUACAGGAGAAACAGCAAAAAGGUCUGUAUAGAACAAUCUCUUUACAAUACUGAAAGCUACCACUACAGUUCCAGUGUACAUAUUCCUCGGGUGUUUUUUUUUUUUUAAGUUGUCGUCUUUAAAAAAAGAAAAAAACAAAACAAAAACACUGCACAACAUCU